Ictidomys tridecemlineatus (thirteen-lined ground squirrel) is the source of this 1350-nucleotide non-coding RNA. Lineage: Eukaryota; Metazoa; Chordata; Mammalia; Rodentia; Sciuridae. The record is from RefSeq and is a predicted model, not a curated record.
UUGUUCUCUGACACCAUUUGCUCACCCUUCUCUUUAUUCCUCCUUAGCCUGAAGCUUUAUCACCAGGAAGGGCUGCGUUCUCUGAUCCAGUGACUUGCCCACUCUCUCACUUUUCUCCUUUUUCUGUUUCAGAGUCUUUCCUAAUCUCUUCCUCUCUCUGGGACACAGAGUCAUCUCUUUAAGGCACCUGGAUUUUAAGAGAGAGAGGAGAGAGGUGGAGAGGGAGAGAGAGAGAGAGAGAGAGCAAGAGGGAGAGGGAAUAAAAGAUGAAGGAAGGAAGGGAGAAAGGAAGGAGGGCAGGAAGGAGGAAGGAAGAGAUGAGUCGAGGGGAGGGGAGCCUUUCAUUCCAGGAACCUCAUUUCUCCUGUCUGCCAUAAACAUUCGCUGAGACCACGGAGCAUAUUGUUGGACCAUCUGCUUGAAUCAAGAGAAAGGAAAAACCGGGAGAAAAGACACAAACUACUCUCGGCAGUUGGAAAUAACAGAUCUGAAUUUAAAUCUAGGUUCUGCCCUUGCUGACUGAUUCAAGGCUUCCUGUGUAAAACAAGAAUAAUGAUGCCUACUUCACAAGGGAUGUUAAAAAAAAUGAUGAGCUAACUUCAAAGUAUCACGCAAAUGGUUCCUGCCAGUGGGAUCCUGGUUGGGAAGCGCGACUCCAUCCUCUGGGAAUCCGAAGGCGCGUUCGCUGGCUGGUUGUAUUGUGUUUGUCUGUCAUUGUGGGAAGAUUCCAAAAUGUGAUAUACCUAAGCCAACUAUACUAAAUAUUGACGUGUGCAGAGAAGAUAUAAGAAGAGAAACGGUGGGAAAAGGAGGAGAAUUUGGCUUCACAGAAGCAGUGAGCAUCGGCCUGGAGCCUAGUGACCUUGCCACAUGCCCUACUGCGGUGUUCAGAGAGCAGUUACGCUAGAGUUUCCGUAUGGACCAUUUAUCUGCAGAUUUGUAAUGUAAAUGCACAAAAGGCAUUUAAAUCUCAUAAAUAUCAUCUGUUUGGUAUAAAAUAAAUUAUUUCAUUCUUUCUCUAAUAGUUUCAAAAAAUAGAAGACUGUUGGAUAUAAAAUAUUAAUCUCAUUUUUAUUCCAUGCAUUUUUUAGUUUUUUAUGUUAUUUACAUACUUGAUUUUAAAUAAUAUUUAAAUGUUUUAAGGAUGAGUAAACUGAGAAGACAAAAAUUAUUGCUAUGAUAUGCAAUUUGUUUUGCUACUUUAACAGUUCCAUUUGACAAACCCAUCAAUUUAUGCAAGUGUAUGUGACUAAUAAGCACUUUAUGAAUUUAAGCAAAGAUUUGUCAUAAGUUGCUUAUGUGUAACUCAUAAAACUGCCAAAAAUAUUUGUAAAAUAUUUUAUCAAAAUA